UGUGCACUGGUGGGGUCCCUCGGCCUGGUCCCGGAUUGUGACAGGGUACAGGCCAGGCUGAGGGACCCCUCCAGUGCAUG
Molecule: microRNA precursor, 80 nt
Filed under: Myotis lucifugus (little brown bat)
Lineage: Eukaryota; Metazoa; Chordata; Mammalia; Chiroptera; Vespertilionidae
Description: mir-9193 microRNA precursor family
Rfam family: mir-9193 microRNA precursor family
Source: Rfam by way of RNAcentral